This 411-nucleotide ribosomal RNA is filed under the name uncultured bacterium. Its description in RNAcentral is "bacterial SSU rRNA". It matches the Rfam family "Bacterial small subunit ribosomal RNA", at positions 94 to 518 of the family's 1533-position model. The record is from RNAcentral.
AGUGGCGGACGGGUAAGUAACACGUGAGCAACCUGCCUCUCAGAGUGGAAUAACAGUUGGAAACGGCUAGCUAAUACCACGUAACGUUUUUUGUGCCGCAUGACACUUCAACCAAAGAUUUAUCGCUGAGAGAUGGGCUCGCGUCCGAUUAGGUAGAUGGUGGGUAACGGCCUACCAUGCCGACGAUCGGUAGCCGGACUGAGAGGUUGAUCGGCCACAUUGGGACUGAGACACGGCCCAGACUCCUACGGGAGGCAGCAGUGGGGGAUAUUGCACAAUGGGCGCAAGCCCUGAUGCAGCAACGCCGCGUGCGGGAAGACGGCCUUCGGGUUGUAAACCGCUGUCCUUGGGGAAGAAACAAAUGACGGUACCCAAGAAGGAAGCCACGGCUAACUACGUGCCAGCCGCCGC